GCACCAGACCGGGCCCCUCUGACGGUUCCCAUGAACCGUGAUGUCGGACUGGAUAU
Regulatory RNA element from Mesorhizobium sp. Root157, 56 nucleotides. It matches the Rfam family "terC RNA". The record is from Rfam. NCBI's taxonomy places the organism in Bacteria, Pseudomonadati, Pseudomonadota, Alphaproteobacteria, Hyphomicrobiales, Phyllobacteriaceae.